UAUUGCACUCGUCCCGGCCU
This 20-nucleotide non-coding RNA is filed under the name Brugia malayi. Its record names the gene bma-miR-92. Lineage: Eukaryota; Metazoa; Nematoda; Chromadorea; Rhabditida; Onchocercidae. RNAcentral also lists the same sequence under 1 other name. The record is from miRBase by way of RNAcentral.